RNAcentral lists this long non-coding RNA (224 nucleotides) under Elaeis guineensis (African oil palm). RNAcentral's name for it is "long non-coding RNA (EGUI_LNC074875)". The record is from RNAcentral. Lineage: Eukaryota; Viridiplantae; Streptophyta; Magnoliopsida; Arecales; Arecaceae.
GGAUAGUGAAAAAAUUCUUCUGAUAAUUAAUUAUAAGUCAUGACAUCAUCUCAAAACUAUAGAGAAUUAUCUUCAAUGCAGCAAAAUACUCCUUAAGUUGGCAAAAAUCAAGAUAUCAUCUGCAUAUUGUAAAAUUUUUGUCCCUCCAAAGAUUCAAGGAUUACCAAGACUUCAAAAUUUUUUUCUGAUGCCACCUGAUUAAGCAUUUUACAAAUUGAAUUCAC